AGCAUAUCAAUAAGCGGAGGAAAAGAAACUAACAAGGAUUCCCCUAGUAACGGCGAGUGAAGCGGGAAGAGCUCAAAUUUGAAAUCUGGUGGACUUCGUUCAUCCGAGUUGUAAUCUAGAGAAGCGUUUUCCGUGCCGGCCAAUGUACAAGUCCCUUGGAACAGGGCGUCAUGGAGGGUGAGAAUCCCGUACUUGACAUUGAUCACCGGUGCUCUGUGAUACACUUUCAGAGAGUCGAGUUGUUUGGGAAUGCAGCUCAAAAUGGGUGGUAAAUUCCAUCUAAAGCUAAAUAUUGGCGAGAGACCGAUAGCGAACAAGUACCGUG
RNAcentral lists this ribosomal RNA (325 nucleotides) under Zyzygomyces polyblastidii. RNAcentral describes it as "Basidiomycota sp. AMM-2022f partial large subunit ribosomal RNA". It matches the Rfam family "Eukaryotic large subunit ribosomal RNA", at positions 37 to 355 of the family's 3401-position model. The record is from RNAcentral. Lineage: Eukaryota; Fungi; Basidiomycota; Tremellomycetes; Filobasidiales; Filobasidiaceae.